RNAcentral lists this ribosomal RNA (505 nucleotides) under uncultured bacterium. RNAcentral describes it as "partial 16S ribosomal RNA". It matches the Rfam family "Bacterial small subunit ribosomal RNA", at positions 28 to 507 of the family's 1533-position model. The record is from RNAcentral.
GACGAACGCUGGCGGCGUGCCUAAUACAUGCAAGUAGAACGCACAGUUUAUACCGUAGCUUGCUACACCAUAGACUGUGAGUUGCGAACGGGUGAGUAACGCGUAGGUAACCUGCCUGGUAGCGGGGGAUAACUAUUGGAAACGAUAGCUAAUACCGCAUAAUAUUGAUUAUUGCAUGAUAAUUGAUUGAAAGAUGCUAUUGCAUCACUACCAGAUGGACCUGCGUUGUAUUAGCUAGUAGGUGAGGUAACGGCUCACCUAGGCGACGAUACAUAGCCGACCUGAGCGGGUGAUCGGCCACACUGGGACUGAGACACGGCCCAGACUCCUACGGGAGGCAGCAGUAGGGAAUCUUCGGCAAUGGACGAAAGUCUGACCGAGCAACGCCGCGUGAGUGAAGAAGGUUUUCGGAUCGUAAAGCUCUGUUGUAAGAGAAGAACGGGUGUGAGAGUGGAAAGUUCACACUGUGACGGUAUCUUACCAGAAAGGGACGGCUAACUACGUG